This 67-nucleotide transfer RNA is filed under the name Frankliniella intonsa. RNAcentral describes it as "tRNA-Asp". Lineage: Eukaryota; Metazoa; Arthropoda; Insecta; Thysanoptera; Thripidae. The record is from RNAcentral.
GAAAAAGUAAUUAAAAAAUAAUAUAUUUUUGUCAAAAAUAAUUUGCCAUUAAAAGAGGCCUUUUUCU